CCUACGGGUGGCAGCAGUAGGGAAUCUUCCACAAUGGGCGAAAGCCUGAUGGAGCAACGCCGCGUGGGUGAAGAAGGUCUGCGGAACGUAAAACCCUGUUGUUAGAGAAGAAAGUGCGUGAGAGUAACUGUUCACGUGUCGACGGUAUCUAACCAGAAAGCCACGGCUAACUACGUGCCAGCAGCCGCGGUAAUACGUAGGUGGCAAGCGUUAUCCGGAUUUAUUGGGCGUAAAGGGAACGCAGGCGGUCUGUUAAGUCUGAUGUGAAAGCCUUCGGCUUAACCGGAGUAGUGCAUUGGAACCUGGGAGACUUGAGUGCAGGAGAGGCGAGUGGUACUCCCUGUGUAGCGG
RNAcentral lists this ribosomal RNA (351 nucleotides) under uncultured bacterium. RNAcentral describes it as "partial 16S ribosomal RNA". It matches the Rfam family "Bacterial small subunit ribosomal RNA", at positions 338 to 681 of the family's 1533-position model. The record is from RNAcentral.